CGCGUAGGCGGCCUGGUCAGUCGGAUGUGAAAGCCCCGGGCUUAACCUGGGAAUGGCAUUCGAUACUGCCAGGCUAGAAUGUAGUAGAGGGAAGUGGAAUUCCAGGUGUAGCGGUGAAAUGCGUAGAUAUCUGGAGGAACAUCAGUGGCGAAGGCGACUUCCUGGACUAACAUUGACGCUGAGGUGCGAAAGCGUGGGGGGCGAACAGGAUUAGAUACCCUGGUAGUCC
This 229-nucleotide ribosomal RNA is filed under the name uncultured bacterium. RNAcentral's name for it is "partial 16S ribosomal RNA". It matches the Rfam family "Bacterial small subunit ribosomal RNA", at positions 568 to 796 of the family's 1533-position model. The record is from RNAcentral.